This 74-nucleotide transfer RNA is filed under the name Blautia obeum. RNAcentral describes it as "tRNA-Met". It matches the Rfam family "tRNA". Rfam says of the family: Transfer RNA (tRNA) molecules are approximately 80 nucleotides in length. Their secondary structure includes four short double-helical elements and three loops (D, anti-codon, and T loops). Further hydrogen bonds mediate the characteristic L-shaped molecular structure. tRNAs have two regions of fundamental functional importance: the anti-codon, which is responsible for specific mRNA codon recognition, and the 3' end, to which the tRNAs corresponding amino acid is attached (by aminoacyl-tRNA synthetases). tRNAs cope with the degeneracy of the genetic code in two manners: having more than one tRNA (with a specific anti-codon) for a particular amino acid; and 'wobble' base-pairing, i.e. permitting non-standard base-pairing at the 3rd anti-codon position. The record is from RNAcentral. Lineage: Bacteria; Bacillati; Bacillota; Clostridia; Lachnospirales; Lachnospiraceae.
GGAAGCAUAGCUAAAUUGGUGUGGGCAGAUGUCUCAUAAACAUAAGGUUGUGAGCUCGAGUCUCUCUGCUUCCA